Long non-coding RNA from Parasteatoda tepidariorum (common house spider), 672 nucleotides. Lineage: Eukaryota; Metazoa; Arthropoda; Arachnida; Araneae; Theridiidae. The record is from RefSeq and is a predicted model, not a curated record.
CUUCUAAAGCCGUUAAAAUAAACAUUGCGAAAGGUGUACUAUUGUUUAUAUUUUCUCUGGAAAUGAUACCUCAAAACUAAAAUUUAUUAGAGAUUAUUCAUUAUUAGUUUUGAUUUGUAGCUAACAAGUCACGUUCAAUUUACGCUCUUCUCCCAAACUCGGACUAGUGGUGCACCAAGUUUAAAUUUCUACACGGAAUUCACAUUACUUCAGAUUUUUACAUUAAAGAUGUCAUAUAUUGAAGCUAAAUGGGUGAUUAUCAUAUUGUGCUUGUUGCUCUGUCCUAUGACUAUGAAGAUGGAAGGACAGAACUCAGAAAAUCCUCUUUCUUCCAAUGGGUUUCUCUCUUACAACGCCAGUAAAGCGGCAAUGGAAACUGCAAUUGAGACUUAUAAACAUUCUUUUGGAAUUAAUUUGUGGUAUGAAGCUCAAGUAGUUACCUAUGCUAAUACAGGAGUUUUUUUAUCGGAUAGAACCCGAAUUAUUGCUUUUUUCACUCUUAGUUUGUUUAUAAUUAGUCUCAUAAUAGUAGUAGCACUCUUAGAUUAGUUUAGCCGUAAGGAAAACGUUAACGUUAGCCUAAAAAUAAUGAAUUAAUCAUUCCAGCUCUUCAUAUAACUUUAAACAAUGUUAACUUUUGUGAUAUCAUUGGAAAAAAAAUUAUUUUUUGUA